AGGUUGCCUCAUUGUUUUGGUGAAAAUUGAGUUCGUUGGGAAAUGUUAUUAGCGCUUAAUUGACUCCUAUCACGCAAAAAUUAAUUGUCAGUUUGCAUUUGAAGUAAUAUUCUUGCGAGACCACGAAAGCAGAGAUAAUGGCGACUACUUUGGUCUAGGGACAACCUAGAAAACAACACUUUUUAUUCUGAAAUGAACUCUCAAGCCGUAAAGUACGGCAUCCUUUAUCCAGCAGAGGAGGGUGAGAGUGAGCACAGAAAUUUCGUUGCCUCUUGGUCUGAUGAUCCGUCAGCUCCUUUUAUUUAUUAGCAGUGAUGGAGCCACCUCCCUGCAACCCCGGGCAGCACCUGGGCUCAUCUGGCAAGCAUCCGUUUAGAGCAGUGUUAUUCCUAGCGUUUAAUGACAACGGUUGUUUCGGCAAACUUUCACUAGCGCAUCAGCAGUUAAGGUCUGCCCCGGCUUCCAUGACUGGCACGCUACGCCACUGAGGUGAGUGAAACUUGGAUCCCAUGUUCUACAUUCGAAUUAUUUCAUGUUGCUCAGAGUAAUCUUACAUGACAGUGCAUUGCUGCUUAACUAAUGCACUAUGAAUUGUGUGUGUUGAUGUGCGGUCACUUUUAUCUAUUGGAAUUUUGAUUCCACUAAGGACUGCAGGUGAGUGAAACUUUGAUGUCACUAACCCUAACAUUUUGUUUGCAGACAUUUGUAUGUACUAACUAUAACUAAGCUAGGUCUAUUUAAUUUUGUAGGGGGCAUAAUUUAUUUCAAAAGUUAACGAGACAUUGAUGGAUUUGUAAUCUUAUUCUUAGGUUUAUCUACAAUGAGGAAAAGAUAAACAAAUCGUCUUUCCUCCUUCUCCCAUUCUGAGAAAGUUAUGAAAAUUGAUGCAAUUGUAUAAUAUCUACUCUUCACUAUUUUGGGGCGAAUAUGCAAUAAAAACUCUCAGUUACUCAUACCAUAGUACUAUUUUCAUUUUUAGAUGAAUACUGAUAUGCCCAACUGUGUUCUGAUAGAUAUUUGCAGAAUUCACCGAAGCAGAGAGUUGGAGUAAAAAUGAUGGUUAAAAGUUAACGAGACAUUGAUGGAUUUGUAAUCUUAUUCUUAGGUUUAUCUACAAUGAGGAAAAGAUAAAAAAAUCGUCUUUCCUCCUCCCAUUCUGAGAAAGUUAUGAAAAAUGAUGCAAUUGUAUAAUAUCUACUCUUCACUAUUUUGGGGCGAAUAUGCAAUAAAAACUCUCUGUUACUCAUACCAUAGUACUAUUUUCCUUUUUAGAUGAAUACUGAUAUGCCCAACUGUGUUCUGAUAGAUAUUUGCAGAAUUCACCGAAGCAGAGUCGGAGUAAAAAUGAUGGUUGUUGAAUGUACUGAUUGACCUUGAAGCUCUGUGGAGCACCGCCAACCCCUAAUGUUUUUUUUGGGUAAGGCUACUAAGCUUUCAUGUUUGUAAAUAACAAAUGUUGUAAUGUACUAAUUAACUUCAUGUCUAAAUUUAUCAUGUAUAUAAGAGAGAGAAAAAACCAGGCGAGUGACAUUUUUCACUAAGUUUCAGAAUAUAGCCACUGUUGGCAACAAUGUAGUAUUUUUAUAGAUUGAAGUUCAGCUAGAUGUCCAAUUGGUCCUUAAUUUACAUUCCCUAUCCUCCAUCUGUUAGCAAGUACUUGGUAUUUAUAGCCUUUCACUUUGCUCAGAUCGUAUGCUCUUCUUCACUGUAGUGGGAGAAAUGCAAUUCUUAGGUAAACUGCGAUGCUGAAUACAUUGUUAUUAGUCAUCAAUAAAUAUACCAAGAUAUGCAUUUUUUGUAUCAUUUCAUUAUCAUUGCAAUGACACUGUCAGAUCCAUCCUUCCCCGCACACUUGCAGAGACAUCUUCCAAGUACAUACACCAUUUCAAUGUCCAAACUCAUAUUUUUUGCGUUUAUUUUGCUAAAAUCUUCUUGAUUCUGAGCACUGGUACUAGAAAGCAUAAUCCAGUUUAGUGUAAGUUUCUACUAUUUCGAAGUAAUUUAAUCCCAUGAAUUCGAGUAAUGUGGAUAUCAUGCUGAUGUUACCACAUAAUUCCCAGUUUAGCACAGGAGGUAACCUGACUUGUUGUUCUCAUUUUUGUGUGCACAAAGAAUCACGUUGCAGAUUAGGAAGUCUCGCUCUUAUUUACGGCAGCGGUGAUAGCAUAGAACUUCUCUGCGAAACCUGAGCAAACUUCCCUUAGUUUGUGCCUCUUGGUUUUCCUAAUUCUGUUUUGUUCUUUCUGACUUAUAACUGAACUAGAGGACUUGAAUUGGUCAGAGGCAGAGCAUGAAGGUGAUGAUACAGAAGUUGCACGGCCAAUAAGUUCCAACCUACAUCUGCAGUGGGACCUUCCAAUCUUCAAUAUAGAUCUUCUUUCAAGUGA
Long non-coding RNA from Lolium rigidum, 2387 nucleotides. RefSeq lists it as uncharacterized. The record is from RefSeq and is a predicted model, not a curated record. NCBI's taxonomy places the organism in Eukaryota, Viridiplantae, Streptophyta, Magnoliopsida, Poales, Poaceae. The transcript has 2 exons.